Magnolia sinica is the source of this 508-nucleotide long non-coding RNA. RefSeq lists it as uncharacterized. The transcript is spliced from 5 exons. Lineage: Eukaryota; Viridiplantae; Streptophyta; Magnoliopsida; Magnoliales; Magnoliaceae. The record is from RefSeq and is a predicted model, not a curated record.
GGUGAGUUUCAGACUGAAAACUGAUACAAAUCUCUUUGAGAUUGCAAAGUGCAAGACAUCUGUGUCUGCAAUUGAGUAUCAUUUCAUUGUGGAAUGGGAGUGGGACUCAUGCAAAUGAAUAGGGAUCCUGGUAGCAAACAUGUCAAUGUGGUAGGUACACUUGUGGGAUACUGAGCAAGAAAGCUGGUGGUUGAACCAAAAAUCAGGCCAAUCUACUUAUUAGAUCGCAGGGUGUAUGGUUGCUCUACUGGUAGUGGCUUCUACUCUGCUGGCAGCAGUGGCCAUUCUACUUUGUGAUUUUGACCAUAUCAAUAAGUUUUGGUACUACACAGGGAAAGCCCAAUUUUGUUCCAUUUAAUGAGGAAUUGAUGAAAUCGACUCAAGGAAUUUCAUAUGUCCUAUGCUUUCAGAAACAGAAUUGGGGGUGUUAUAUUGGCACUUGAAUCCAAAAGAUUAUGACAAUGAUGAGGAGCAGCAGAAAAUCCAAGAGAGCAGGGGCUAUAAUUAU